RNAcentral lists this unclassified non-coding RNA (437 nucleotides) under fungal sp. RNAcentral describes it as "partial internal transcribed spacer region". The stretch from base 1 to 46 matches the Rfam family "Eukaryotic small subunit ribosomal RNA", at positions 1786 to 1831 of the family's 1831-position model. The record is from RNAcentral. Lineage: Eukaryota; Fungi.
AAGUCGUAACAAGGUUUCCGUAGGUGAACCUGCGGAAGGAUCAUUAUCAUAGUAUAAUAUCCACAAACCUAAACGUGAACUGUUAUAUUGUCCUUUAAGUUAUUGUAAAAUAAUUUUCUGGGCUGUUGAUGAUUUUUCUUUUGAUUCUAAAUUAGACAGAGAUUUAAGUAUUAGAAAUUGAAAUGAAAAGGAGUUUUUUCUUCGGAAAAGCUUUCUUUUUGUUCUUUUUCUCUAUUUAUUUCUUUUUCUUUUUAGAAUUUCAAGAGAUAAUCAUUUUUUUUUUUAAAUUUAUUAACACAUUGAACCAUAUUAUUUAUUGUUUGACUGAUUUUUUCUUACCCAACCUAAAAAAUUGGGAAGAAAUUAUGUUUAUACGAAACAUAAGUACAACUCUUAGCAACGGAUAUCUCGGCUCUCAUAACGAUGAAGAACGCAGC